Molecule: long non-coding RNA, 5481 nt
Filed under: Xyrichtys novacula (pearly razorfish)
Lineage: Eukaryota; Metazoa; Chordata; Actinopteri; Labriformes; Labridae
Source: RNAcentral
CUUUCACUUCAACAAUAAAUAAACACAAGGAGUUUUUUCUCUCUGAGUGGUCUCUGCUCAGCUCUGGCGACCAGCCGAGAACAUCAGCGAGCAAUUCUGCAACACAAAGAAACAGCACUGCUAUUGAACGAGCUGUAUGUGGACAGAAAUAAGGCGGCUGAGGUCCUAUUCUGCCGUCUCUGAAUGGGAGGAAAAGGUAUUGUUCAGCAGGAAAUUGUCAUGUGGAGAUAAUGUGCUGACAUAAUAAUGAUUCACUGUGUUUUUGUGUGUCAGAAACGUGCAGCAUAGCAGCCUCUGCAGCAGGAAAGAUCCUGUUUCUGCUCUCUUUAUUUUGUAGUUUUCUUCGAAGUCUCCACAAAGAAAAAAAUCUCUCUCCUAUGUAAAUGAAGAGAGAGCAGCAUGAUUAGAUUUCUUCAAGCUGCAGAGCAAUAAUUAUCACCAUCAGCUCCACAAGAUAGCAUUUAACAAUUAGUUUUGAGUUUCUGUGUAUUAUUAUCAACAUGUCAGAGAAAAUAUAGAGUUCACAGUCACUUCAGCAGCAAACAGGGCUGUUAUUGGAUUAAAAUGAAAUGCAAAGAAGCUUAAAGCUUCACCCAAAUUAUGGAGAAUUUCAGCUGAGUACAAAAAAGGACUGGAAGAGUGAAACACUCUGUCUAUCUAUGGUGGUUAAUUGAAAAUAUAAGCAGCUGUAUAAAUCAUGUAGGACUAAGCACUGUGAAUAUCAAGUCUCACAUUCAGAGCUGAAAUUAUCACUAAAUUCAUCAAUUACUGCACCCACAAAUAUAUGAUAUCUAUAUUUGUCAAGUAUAGAUGAAGUAAAAACUGAGAAGUGACUUAAUCAUGCUUGUAAAAUAUGAAUGUUUCUGGUUUUAUCAGUUAUACUUGACGUUAUCUAUUCCUGUCCUCAAUAAAAACAGUCUCACUGGCUUUUGUUUGGUAGCCCUGUAAGUGAACAAACAUACUUUUAUUAAAUGCCAGAAAUACUUAACUCAAUUUCAUCAAACACAAUUAUAUUCCAGGAAAAACAAAAACUUUUUUAUUUGACACAAAUAUAUUUCAUGAAAUUAAAAAAGUAAAUCAAUAAUUGAAUGCAAAAAAGUGCAAAACAAUUUUCAAAAAGCACAAAUAAUUCACGAAACAAGAAAUAGACAAAAGCAGGAUUCAUGAAAUGAAAUAAAAAUGUUUGAAAAUCAAAAACUAUUCAAUGAAACACAAAAAUAUUUUGUAAACACAAAAUGUAUUCGCAUCCGUCCACUAAUGUAGGUCAGAGUGAAGCCUCUGUGACAACUACUAAAUACAAUGAAACUAAGACCCAUUAUAAAUAUAUGGACAGUAAGCCAAAAUAAAGCCUCUGUGCAACUUACUAUUAACAGUAAAACUGAGACUCAUUGUGGAGAUAAAAUAAGCCAGAGUGACGCUUCUGUGUGACUUACUAUUCACAAGAAAACAGACUACAUUAUAAACAUAUGGACAGUAAGCCAAAAUAUAACUUCUGUGUAAUUUACUAUUUACAGUAAAACUGAGACUCAUUGUGGAGAUAAAGUAAGCCAGAGUGACGCUUCUGUGUGACUUACUACUCACAAGAAAACUGAAACGUAUUAUAAACACAUGGAUAGCUUGCAGAAUAAAGCCUCAGUGUAUCUUACUAUCAACAGUGAAACUGAGACUCACCACAAAUAGAUGAACAGUAGACCAAUGAGGCGCCUCUGUGUUGAUCUAAAUUUACAGUAAAACGAAGAUGAUUGUUGUUAGUAAACCAGAUUAAAGCCUCUAUGUAACUUACUAUCAACAGUGAAACUGAGACUCACCAUAGAUAGAUGAACAGUAAGCCGGAGAGCUAACCCUCUGUAUUGAUUUAAAUUUACAAUAAAACAUUGUAAUCAGUAAGCCAGAUUAAAAUCUCCCUCUAACCUAUCAACGGUGAAACUGAGACUCAUUGUUAAGAUACCAAUAAUGAAUGAGCCCCAGUGUUACCGUAUGAACAGUUAGCAGGAAUAUAACCUCUGUAUAGUCAAAUUUACAGUGAAACUGAGACUUAAACAGACGAAUAGGCGCUCCUGUUGGGGUUGUAAUGAGCCCAGUCUUUUUGCAGACAUGUCUAGAGGGAGUUUCUCCGUACUUUUAUGCUCUUAACCUCCAUCGUUCAGUGUUUAUUAGGAGUAACACUCAUAAACUCCAGUGUACCUGUGCUGCACCUGUACCUGUGCACACAGCAGUGAAUCUAUUGUGCUCUAUUCUUUCUGCUGUGUGUAUUAAAAGGCCUUUAACUCAGCGACUCUCUAAAUCCCUCUAACUUCAACCAAACACCUGUUUUUUAAUCCGUCUUCUGUUAACGCAGCUCUUUGGCAGCAGUGUCUCGUUUCUUCAAAGUUUGAGGAUUCAACAGUUAUGAAUUAUUAAUCAGCAUAAUUCAAUCAUCUCAGUCUGAUUGUUCUGAACUCCCCUCAGUGUUUGCCAAGCCUCUUCAUAUUAACCCAAACAGACAGUCUGUAAUCAGGACGCUUUAAAGAGUCUGACGGCCGCUUUCAUUUAUCAGAUGGAUAUUUCCCCAGGUGGAGGAUCAGCUCCACGGCCCGUUAUGAGCUCUGAUCCGGAGCAGCAGGGGAGGAAAGACUCCUAAAAAACAUCAGACAGAGAGCGGGUAAUACUGCGUCCUGCAGAGAAGAAUCAAACACACAGUACACAAACCUGCUGCUUUGAAAAUACACAGUAAAGAUUAAAUACCACAGAAAGGAAUACUCACUCUCUACACCUUACCUGCAGGUCUCUCUGGUCUAUUAACUAUGAAGCUUUAUAUACACACACACAACGUGACUUUGACUGUGUUCUUUUACUCUAAUACCAUUUUAUUUUUACAGUGAGAAGUAAGAACAGAAAGAUGAAAAUCAAACCCAUGUGUUGCUCCUAAACCUCAGCAGUAAUGAUGCAUUCACAGAUGUUUAAGCUACCCAUGAUAUCAACAUUUAUGAUCCCCUGUAACAUCAGGGAUGCUGGCUUUGAAAUGAGCAGAGGAGAUAAUGUCCAUGGUUUCCAAAAAGAAAGUUAAAUUGUGAUUCAUCAAAACCUGAGUGACUGUGUUCACAGACAAUGGUUUUUGGAAGUGAUUUUGAGCGAUUGCCAAUACAGAUUCCUGUCUUUUUUAAUGCGGUGUUGCCUGAGGGCCUGAAGAUUAGGACCAUCUUAUCUUUGUUUUGGUCUUGGUCCCUUUUGUACGGAGAUUUCUCCAGACUCUCUGAAUCUUUUAAUGAUGAAAUCCGCUCAUUCUUCUACAUUUUGUGUCUCUGAUUUUUUUUUACAAACAUGUUGCUGCCAUCAAGUUUAAAAUGAAAAUAUGAUUUUGCUCGUUUUCCAGUUAGAAACCUCUUAAAAAACUGUCAAAAUCACUUUUCACCAACAUUUCACUCAGAGUCCUGACUCUUUACAGGCUGAACUACUUCUCCUUUUUUACCACACAUAUCUGUUUCUCUCUUUAGUUCCUCCGUCAGCCACUAGAAGGCAUAAUGUUGUUUUCCUCUGAGCACAUAAACAGACUCCAUUCAGAACUCCAUCUGAGAUUUCUCUUUUUUUCCCUCUCUCUCUCCUCAUGUAUUCUUUAAACCAUCCUCCAACCUUUUUAUUAAUGAUACAGCAUUUUGGAUCAUUAAGUACAUCAGUUCUGCUUCCUUUUAAUUUGUCACUCUGCUAAUUGAUGUCCACAUAGCCAGGCAAUUAAUUCAACCUAAUUAGAGCUCCAUUUGCAGAAGCCUAAUUGACACAUAGAUCUGUCUGCUGAACGGCCAAUUAGGAAUGAGAUGCAUGAAAUAAAAUGAUGGUGAGAUAUUAAUGAUUCAAUCAAAUAUGUGAUUUCAUUAAUUCAGGAAUCUGAGAGCAGGUCUGAAACUACAAAAUCUGGAUUUUAAAGAAGGUUUUCAUUUGUAUUCACUUUUACACUCAGAAAGUUAACACAGACACACCAAACUCCAUUUAGAAAACAGAUAAUUAAAGAGAUAAUCAAACAAGUGGAUGAAAAUUGUCAUUUAUUUAGUCUUAUUGGUUUGUUUUAUCUUGAAGUCUGCAAAAUUUUCUGUGGACACAUGGCUGUCUUAAAAAGUUGAGGCAAUAAUAACAAUAAUAAUAAUAAUCUUUGUCGUUGUUUUUGGGUCACAGAUUCACCUGAUAAUCAAUAACCUCUGAUGUCAAACAUCCUUCACACCUGCUGAUCAACGACUGAUCAGCUCUCAGGAGAAUCAAGGCUGUAAUCCUGCUCUCACUCUUAAAUCUGUCCACAAAAUCACCUCAGAGGACCGGGAGAGACCCGAUCAGAGCCCCGACAGCUGCUCCAACAUCGGCGGACCCCCGCUGAGAGAGGGACCCCCACACUGAGCCGAGGGGCCCCGUCAUCUAAUCAACACGCUGUGAUUCUCUCUGCACAGCGGGAGGGAGGAGAAACCUGCAGCUUCUGAAGGAGGUGAUGCUCUGGAAACUCUCUGCAGCAUGAAAAGAAGAUGUGAUUUCUGUUGUAAAUGGGCAUAUAUUUACAUUCAUUCAUGCAGAGAGGCUCCGUCUGCAGCGAGUCAAUUUAUCAUGGCUGCAUAAUAGGUCAAAUCAAAUAGAAAAAAAUGAAUUUUGAUGUUGUAAAACUGAUAAAAACUCAAAGACAUUCAGUUUACGGUGACAUAAAAGCAGCUUAACUCAAAACUGGUCCUGUUUUACUCACUUUAAAAAACUGGAUUGUGGUGUUAAAUCACAGUAAAGCCUCCUUAAAAUGCAGCCCAGUGUGCAGGGAGUUUAGUUUAAAUCAGACGACCUUAAAAUAACCAGAGAACCAAAGUUAUAAAGGAGGAAAAAGGUGAGACAAGACACGCUGAUAAGGCAGUUUAUCAGAGUUUAUAAUAAACCAAAUGAAGUCUCCAGACAUCUCCAUCUUUGUUGCUAACUUUAAAAACACACAGACCGAUGUAGCAGCAGCAAUGAGGUUACUAAGCUGCUGUUUGACUGGGUUUGUACUUUAUCACCUGAUGUUGUUGUAUUUAUUCAGUGAUUUAAGAACUCCUCCUGUUAAUAACUUCACCCUGCUCCUUGUUUUCGGGACAUAAGCAUGAAAAUUGCUGAAAUAUGUGAAAAUAAACUCUGGAUUUGUUUCCAGCUCCUCUCCUCCAGAGCCAUGUUUCAGGCCUCUCUCGCUGGCCGGCCUCUUCCUUCCACAUUAUACAAGUUCUCUCUUUUUUCUGCUGCCAACUCUUUCCAUUUUCUCCUCGCCAGCUGGUCAGGGGUCUCCUGCUGCCGCUCGGGCCCUCAGCUCACUUCCUACUUUCUGCAGCACCUGUUCCUGUUUGGCAGAGUCGGCCGGGAUGCUGAAAGCUUGGAGACGAGCCAUCUGCUGCCCGGCUCUGCACCAUUUUACCCCCAAUCCCUGGAGUACCUGCAUGCAUCCUGACUUUUCUCUGUUUUAACAGCUCUGAAACACUCAGAGCUGCUCAGAAAUGGAAAAAAAAAGCUGAG